UUGCUUCAACAGCACAUAUGCUAAAAUUGGAAGGAUACAGAGAAGAUUAGCAUGGCCCUGUGCAAGGGUGAUAUGCAAAUUCGUGAAGGAUUCCAUAUAAAA
Vicugna pacos (alpaca) is the source of this 102-nucleotide small nuclear RNA. NCBI's taxonomy places the organism in Eukaryota, Metazoa, Chordata, Mammalia, Artiodactyla, Camelidae. The record is from Ensembl.